GGAGAGGUGGCCGAGCGGUUUAAGGCGCACGCUUGGAAAGCGUGUAUACUUGUAAGAGUAUCGGGGGUUCGAAUCCCUUCCUCUCCGCAA
RNAcentral lists this transfer RNA (90 nucleotides) under Flavobacteriales bacterium. Its description in RNAcentral is "tRNA-Ser". It matches the Rfam family "tRNA". From Rfam's summary of the family: Transfer RNA (tRNA) molecules are approximately 80 nucleotides in length. Their secondary structure includes four short double-helical elements and three loops (D, anti-codon, and T loops). The record is from RNAcentral. Lineage: Bacteria; Pseudomonadati; Bacteroidota; Flavobacteriia; Flavobacteriales.